UUAUGACUAGAAAGGGAACACAAAAAGCCACAGCACAUCACAGCAAGCAAUUUCAAAGCUGACGUCAAAGGCAAGGAGAGUUGUGCGGACGGGAGGGGAGGCGGGAGGGGGAGACGGGGAUUGACUGUGGUCACACUCCCAGGGCGCUCCGAAACACUGUCAAGGUGAAGUGCCUCACCGGCUGUGACAGCGGAAGGGUUUUUCUGUGUGUUUCGCAUUGGGAUGAUACCACCGCCGCUAUGAUAAGCUCUCAUUUGCAAGCUCUUGGAACGAGGCAGACAAAUGCCGCCGGUGGCGUUGGAAGUCGGCAGGCAGAUGUUCAUCCUGGAAGCAAUUUACGAGUCAGUAAUCUGGGUACCUCUGCAUCGCCGCGCUGAAAAGCAAUGGUGUAUUUCCAUGGCAACCGGCUAAUCCGCAGGUGGAAGGUGAUUGGACACCUUUCGCACCAGAACAAUAAUUUGAAAGGUCUUUUUCUCCCCCCGCCAUCCUCGCCGCCGCCGUCUUCUUCCUUUCCACUUCACUGUUCCAUAGCAUCAUGGAUUUCAUUGUACUGCAAUUCACGGCGAGAAUCAUUACGAGCCAUGAAGAUCGGGAGGGGGAGGAUAUAAGAAAAAAAAAAAUCCUGCCUCGGCUUUAUAUUUCAUAAGCAAGAAAAGGCUCUUCCUUGAGAAACCUGUGUGUGUGUUAAUGUUAUCAGGUUGUAUGAUGUGCUCUAAGACAAUUGCUCAAAGUGUCAAGGUGGGAAGGUAUUGAGAACACUCUAGACAAUGAAUAAAGGAUCAUGGUGUCUGUGGUCUAGUGAGUUCCUUGGAAUUAUUGGCUGAAAUUGAACAUGGAUGAGUAUCGUCUUAGAGAUCCAGGAUUUUGCUAUGGUUCCUGUGUCACCCCUUCCAGGAUUCAUCAUUUCACCUGAUAACCCCCGUCCAAUAAAAAAGCUUAUGUUCCUGC
Long non-coding RNA from Anolis carolinensis (green anole), 948 nucleotides. RefSeq lists it as uncharacterized. Lineage: Eukaryota; Metazoa; Chordata; Lepidosauria; Squamata; Anolidae. The transcript has 2 exons. The record is from RefSeq and is a predicted model, not a curated record.